RNAcentral lists this ribosomal RNA (425 nucleotides) under uncultured bacterium. RNAcentral describes it as "bacterial SSU rRNA". It matches the Rfam family "Bacterial small subunit ribosomal RNA", at positions 355 to 772 of the family's 1533-position model. The record is from RNAcentral.
UGGGGAAUAUUGCACAAUGGGCGCAAGCCUGAUGCAGCGACGCCGCGUGGGGGAAGAAGGCCUUCGGGUUGUAAACCCCUUUCAGGAGGGACGAAGGUUGGGCGGUUAAUAGCCGACCUGACUGACGGUACCUCCAGAAGAAGCCCCGGCUAACUACGUGCCAGCAGCCGCGGUAAUACGAAGGUCCCAAGCGUUGUUCGGAAUCACUGGGCGUAAAGGGUGCGUAGGCGGUUUGGUAAGUCAGAUGUGAAAUCCCGGGGCUCAACCCCGGAACUGCAUCCGAUACUGCCGGACUUGAGGACUGGAGAGGUGACUGGAAUUCUCGGUGUAGCAGUGAAAUGCGUGGAUAUCGAGAGGAACACUCGUGGCGUAAGCGAGUCACUGGACAGUAUCUGACGCUGAGGCACGAAGGCCAGGGUAGCGAA